CUUCUUUCUUAUAUUAUUUUGAAUGUAAUCCAAGAAAAUUAAUUGAAAGAUGAGAACCCUUAAAAGAUCUUCUCUAAAAAAAUUAAUUGAAAGAUCUUUUUUAAAAAAAUUAAUUGAAAGAUUUUCUUUUACCAAUGUCAUCUUGUAGAUAGCGUCCACCUUUUCCACUAAAAAACCAGAGACAAUAAGUGAAGCAGAAGUGAGCCACUUGGCAAUCUACGAUCUCGAACGUACUCUACUGAACUGACACGCUUUUCUCGCGACCUGCCGCGGCAGAGUACAAACAUGUUUUUUUUUUCAUCAUGACGGAGGGGUAUAUUCGUCCAAGCAAAACAAGAUGUAUAUCCCAUGGGCUAUUAAUGCCACAUAGUGUGUAGUUAGUUAAUUUGGGUCUCCACUAUGUAUAUUAGGCUAAAAUUCUCCUUAUAUAUCUCUAUGCAACCCAAUUAUCUAUUUCCAUAAGUCAUUUUCUGAACUCCGAAGCCAGAUUCCAAAUGUAUGUACAAAGGCAAGAAACACUAGGGAUAUGAAGUGUCUCUAUAUCUUUAUCAUAAGCUCUGUUGGUAAAUGUGUCAAAUGGUUCCUUUGUUUAUUAAAAAUUGAUAAGUCAUUCGUUAGAGCUACAUUUUAACGAGCCACAACAUUAUCGAAAAGACAGUUCUGGUGUGUGACGAAAGAGACUCCUCGACAAUCUCUAAUGAAAACUUGAUAAAUUGGUACUUAGAGAGAAACAUAAACAACAAGAAAACUCAUAUGAUUGUGAUGAGGUGGUACGAGGAACUUAAAAAGAUGGUAAGUACUUCGGAUUCAAAACCGAUUACUCAAAUAAACUGCGCACAUGUGGAACAUGGAGUAUUUUACAUGGUUUGUCUUCUGGCUUCCUGGAUUAGUAGAAUUUUCGUAUCCAAAAUACCUUGAUUUAAAAAUAAAAAUAAAAAAACUUGAAACAUGAGUUACCUCAAUCUCCUCAGACCUAAAAGGCCUUAAAUCUAAAUCUGAUUGGGCUAAUAAAAAUCUCAAGUUAGACCUGACAGUGUCGUGCGAAGGGUUUUAGGGGCCUAAAGCAAGUUUUUAAAAAAAAAUUAUAUACAAUUAUAAAAAAAACAAUUUCUAAUACAAUAUAUCACCUUCGCGAAAUACAUAAGUUUAAUACUUACAAGAAUAAGUUUAUUACGUAAAUAUGCUAUGUUAUGUCCUAUAAGAAAAAAAUAUAUGGAUUUAGAAAUUGAGUUAUUCGAUUCUCGUGGAAAGUUUCUUUUAGAAAUAAAUUUAAGCAACUAAACUAAAAAUUAUUUUAAAUUUUGGGACCCUAAAAAACAUAAUAUUAUUCGGGGACCUAAGGCGAAUGCCUUUUUCAAUACACUGUAUGCACACCUCUGAGACCUGAUAAGAAAGCUCAAAUUGUAAGGUGAUUCAAGGGGAAAUAAACAAUUAAUUCUUGAACUAUUUAAAAUCCGCAAUUUAAAUAUCGAACUAUUGCUCGCAUACUUUUAUUUCCCAACUAUUUGUUGACUCGGCAAAUUGAUACCCAAAUAAGUAGUCGUUAAGUCAAUAACGUUUGUUGUUAGUAUUUUACCAAUCUUCUUUUCCAUUAUAGCUCAGAUACUCGAAAUCCCCAAAUUAGAAUUCUUAUCUGAGAGAGAAAGCGAUUCCAGCAAGUACAGACGAGAUUUCCGGUGACGUGAUGAAGAACUUCGAGAAGAACAAAACUCUCUGUCGGUGAAAUCUUGAGCCGUUUCCCAACAACGAGUCUUGUUCUUCUCGACAGAGAGUUUUGUGAGUCUGGGAGACUCGGAAUCGAACUCAACUGCAACAGAUAAGAACCCUCCUCUUGGAGAUGUUCUUUCUCUGAUCUCGGCGGUGUUUUACGCUGUCUACAUCACUCUUAUACGCAAAAAGCUUCCUGAUGAUGAUGAUGAAAAAAGCGGCUGGUUUAGUAUGGCUCAGCUUCUUGGGUUUCUAGGUCUCUUUAACUUCUUUAUCUUCCUACCUGCUGCUGUAAUACUCUAACUUCACAAAGAGAGAGCGGUCCAAUGCACUGACCUUGAAACAGCUUGGUCUGGUGGUUGGCAAAGGUUUGUUAGAUAAUGUACUCAGUGACUACCUAUGCGCAAAGGCUGUGCUUUUGACAACGACCACAGUGGCUUCGGCGGGGCUGACCAUUCAGGUUCCAUUGGCAGCUAUUGUAGACAGCUUAUCAGGGAACAAACCAAGCUUCACAGACUUCAUUGGUGCUGCAGCCGUAAUGGUAGGCUUUGCAGGCAUCAAUAUUCCUGCAGAGAUUUUUCACAGAUCCAAAGAGACUUAGAACCAGGAACAUCGUCCAGUGAUCCUCCUCAGGUUGUGUCGGAUAGCAUAGGAGUAGAUUGUUCAGAGACCCUAGCGUCCUAACUGCCAUGAUGCUUAUAUAUUUUUGCUCUUUUAUUUUCUGAUUUUUUUUUAAAUCUGUAAAUCGUUGAAAGAUUGAUAUACGAAUAUAGUUGAAAAAAUAGUAAUAAAAAUCGUUCAAGAUUA
Brassica rapa (field mustard) is the source of this 2514-nucleotide long non-coding RNA. RefSeq lists it as uncharacterized. NCBI's taxonomy places the organism in Eukaryota, Viridiplantae, Streptophyta, Magnoliopsida, Brassicales, Brassicaceae. The record is from RefSeq and is a predicted model, not a curated record.